CGUGAAGGGACCAUGUUUUAUAAGUCUCACAGAAGUCUGCUGAACCACUUGGAAUUCAUACACAGGUUUUCACAAGGGUUGCGAAUGAGGCAGUUUGAUUUCAUGGAGGAUGGCAUUGCAUCAAGCAGCAGAACCCUGUCUAGAAUGGCUUCAACACUCAGAAAAGUAUGCAGGCGUGCAAUUAACAAACGUCGCAACCAAGGCCAAAUGGAAGUUGGGGGUCCCCAUUGCUUCGUAUUGCUGGAUGAGAGCAAAUUUACACACAAAAGAAAAGUAAGUGCCCUUUCCAUUCAAUAUUACAUUAAUUGCUGCAUGGUUUCAACAACUACGUUCACCAUCUUGAAAUUCACUUUCAGUUAGUGAGGCUGAUUGUAUUCAGAAAAUGGUGAGAACUUACUAUAUCUUCCAUGAUUUUCUGUAGUACAACCGUGGCAGAAUUGGACCAGCUUGGCGUCGAACCAAGAAAUGGGUCCUUGGUAUACUGGAGGUUUGGCAGUCAUCAAGAAAGCCAAUUCUGAAAAUUGUCAGAGGGCGCUCCAGGAAUGACCUUUUACCUACCAUACUUCGUCACGUGAGGAGGGGCACAAGCAUUGUGACAGAUGAAUGGCGCGCAUACAGCAGA
Long non-coding RNA from Esox lucius (northern pike), 622 nucleotides. The record is from Ensembl. NCBI's taxonomy places the organism in Eukaryota, Metazoa, Chordata, Actinopteri, Esociformes, Esocidae.